RNAcentral lists this unclassified non-coding RNA (335 nucleotides) under soil metagenome. RNAcentral's name for it is "partial contains 5.8S ribosomal RNA, internal transcribed spacer 2, and large subunit ribosomal RNA". The stretch from base 1 to 120 matches the Rfam family "5.8S ribosomal RNA", at positions 35 to 154 of the family's 154-position model. The record is from RNAcentral.
GAUGAAGAACGUAGCGAAAUGCGAUAAGUAGUGUGAAUUGCAGAAUUCAGUGAAUCAUCGAAUCUUUGAACGCACAUUGCGCCCCUUGGUAUUCCAUGGGGCAUGCCUGUUCGAGCGUCAUUUGUACCUUCAAGCUCUGCUUGGUGUUGGGUGUUUGUCCUUGCUCUAGUGGCGGGACUCGCCUUAAAGUAAUUGGCAGCCAGUGUUUUGGUUUUGAAGCGCAGCACAAGUCGUGAUUCAAGUCUAUACGCUAGUUUCCACAAGUCUUUUAUCACUUUUGACCUCGGAUCAGGUAGGGAUACCCGCUGAACUUAAGCAUAUCAAUAAGCGGAGGA